RNAcentral lists this ribosomal RNA (492 nucleotides) under uncultured bacterium. RNAcentral's name for it is "partial 16S ribosomal RNA". It matches the Rfam family "Bacterial small subunit ribosomal RNA", at positions 28 to 507 of the family's 1533-position model. The record is from RNAcentral.
GGUGAACGCUAGCUACAGGCUUAACACAUGCAAGUCGAGGGGAAACGACAUCGAAAGCUUGCUUUUGAUGGGCGUCGACCGGCGCACGGGUGAGUAACGCGUAUCCAACCUGCCCACCACUUGGGGAUAACCUUGCGAAAGUAAGACUAAUACCCAAUGACGUCUCUAGAAGACAUCUGAAAGAGAUUAAAGAUUUAUCGGUGAUGGAUGGGGAUGCGUCUGAUUAGCUUGUUGGCGGGGUAACGGCCCACCAAGGCGACGAUCAGUAGGGGUUCUGAGAGGAAGGUCCCCCACAUUGGAACUGAGACACGGUCCAAACUCCUACGGGAGGCAGCAGUGAGGAAUAUUGGUCAAUGGACGAGAGUCUGAACCAGCCAAGUAGCGUGCAGGAUGACGGCCCUAUGGGUUGUAAACUGCUUUUAUAAGGGAAUAAAGUGAGUCUCGUGAGACUUUUUGCAUGUACCUUAUGAAUAAGGACCGGCUAAUUCCGUG